RNAcentral lists this ribosomal RNA (465 nucleotides) under Vreelandella stevensii. RNAcentral describes it as "partial 16S ribosomal RNA". It matches the Rfam family "Bacterial small subunit ribosomal RNA", at positions 338 to 795 of the family's 1533-position model. Lineage: Bacteria; Pseudomonadati; Pseudomonadota; Gammaproteobacteria; Oceanospirillales; Halomonadaceae. The record is from RNAcentral.
CCUACGGGAGGCAGCAGUGGGGAAUAUUGGACAAUGGGGGGAACCCUGAUCCAGCCAUGCCGCGUGUGUGAAGAAGGCCCUCGGGUUGUAAAGCACUUUCAGUGAGGAAGAACGCCUGGUGGUUAAUACCCAUCAGGAAAGACAUCACUCACAGAAGAAGCACCGGCUAACUCCGUGCCAGCAGCCGCGGUAAUACGGAGGGUGCGAGCGUUAAUCGGAAUUACUGGGCGUAAAGCGCGCGUAGGUGGCUUGAUAAGCCGGUUGUGAAAGCCCCGGGCUCAACCUGGGAACGGCAUCCGGAACUGGCAAGCUAGAGUGCAGGAGAGGAAGGUAGAAUUCCCGGUGUAGCGGUGAAAUGCGUAGAGAUCGGGAGGAAUACCAGUGGCGAAGGCGGCCUUCUGGACUGACACUGACACUGAGGUGCGAAAGCGUGGGUAGCAAACAGGAUUAGAUACCCCUGUAGUC